This 253-nucleotide ribosomal RNA is filed under the name uncultured bacterium. RNAcentral's name for it is "partial 16S ribosomal RNA". It matches the Rfam family "Bacterial small subunit ribosomal RNA", at positions 524 to 776 of the family's 1533-position model. The record is from RNAcentral.
UACGAAGGGGGCUAGCGUUGUUCGGAAUUACUGGGCGUAAAGCGCACGUAGGCGGACUGUUAAGUCAGGGGUGAAAUCCCGGGGCUCAACCCCGGAACUGCCUUUGAUACUGGUAGUCUCGAGUCCGGAAGAGGUGAGUGGAAUUCCGAGUGUAGAGGUGAAAUUCGUAGAUAUUCGGAGGAACACCAGUGGCGAAGGCGGCUCACUGGUCCGGUACUGACGCUGAGGUGCGAAAGCGUGGGGAGCAAACAGG